UGCCAUUCUAUAUGUUGUAUGUCAGGGUC
RNAcentral lists this non-coding RNA (29 nucleotides) under Mus musculus (house mouse). Lineage: Eukaryota; Metazoa; Chordata; Mammalia; Rodentia; Muridae. The record is from RNAcentral.